AUACGUAGGGGGCGAGCGUUGUCCGGAUUUAUUGGGCGUAAAGAGCUCGUAGGCGGCUCGGUGAGUCGGAUGUGAAAUCUCCAAGCUCAACUUGGAGAGGCCAUUCGAUACUGCUGUGGCUUGAGUCCGGUAGAGGAGCAUGGAAUUCCCGGUGUAGCGGUGAAAUGCGCAGAUAUCGGGAGGAACACCAGUAGCGAAGGCGGUGCUCUGGGCCGGUACUGACGCUGAGGAGCGAAAGCGUGGGGAGCGAACAGGA
Molecule: ribosomal RNA, 256 nt
Filed under: uncultured prokaryote
Description: partial 16S ribosomal RNA
Rfam family: Bacterial small subunit ribosomal RNA
Source: RNAcentral